UCCCGUUGAUCCUGCGGGAGGCUGUUGUUAUUGGGAUUCGACUAAGCCAUGCAAGUCAAGGGGUCCUUCGGGACACCGGCAAACUGCUCAGUAACACGUCGAUAAUCUAACUUUGGGUCCGGGAUAACCUUGGGAAACUGAGGCUAACACCGGAUAGGGGAACUGCUCUGGAAUGACUUUUUCCUUUAAAAGCAAUGCCCAAAGAUGAGUCGGCGGCCGAUUAGGUUGUUGGCGGGGUAAUGGCCCACCAAGCCUAAGAUCGGUAGGGGCCUUGAGAGAGGUAGCCUCGAGAAGGGCGCUGAGACACUUGCCCUAGCCCUAAGGGGUGCAGCAGGCGCGAAACCUUUACAAUGCACGAAAGUGUGAUAAGGGAAUCCCAAGUGCCAAUGUUCAACAUUGGCUUUUUCUAAGAUUAGGAAUCUUGGAGAAUAAGUGGUGGGAAAGACUGGUGCCAGCCGCCGCGGUAACACCAGCGCCACAAAUGGGAGCCGUUUUUAUUUGGCCUAAAGCGUCCGUAGCCGGUCUGUUAAAUCUCUUGUGAAAUUGUGAGGCCUAACCUUACAACGUGCAGGAGAGACUGGCAGACUAGGGACCAGGAGGGGUCAGAAGUAUUUUUGGGGGAGCGGUAAAAUGCUAUAAUCCCUUAAAGACUGCCUGUGGCGAAGGCGUCUGACCAUAAUGGAUCCGACGGUGAGGGACGAAAGCCAGGGGAGCAAACCGGAUUAGAUACCCGAGUAGUCCUGGCCGUAAACGCUGCGUGCUAGGUGUUGCAUAUUCUCAGUGAAUAUGCAGUGUCGAAGUGAAGACGUUAAGCUCGCCGCCUGGGAAGUAUGGUCGCAAGACUGAAACUUAAAGGAAUUGGCGGGGGAGCACUACAAGGGGUGCGGCGUGCGGUUUAAUCUAACUCAACGCAGAGAAUCUCACCAGGAGCGACGGCAGGAUGAAAGUCAGGCUGAAGGUCUUACUUGACGAGCCGAGAGGUAGUGCAUGGCCGCCGUCAGCUCAUGCCGUAAGGUGUCCUCUUAAGCGAGGCAACGAGCGAGACCUGUACCUACAAUUGCUAACAACUCUAUCAGAGGAUUGAGCACAUUGUAGGGACUGCCUUGGAAACAAGGAGGAAGGUGCAGGCUACGGUAGGUCUGUAUGCUCCGAAUCUUCUGGGCUACACGCGCGCAACAAUGGUAGGGACAAUGGGAUACAACUCCGAAAGGAGAAGUUAAACCUCUAAACCCUAUCCAAGUCCAGAUUGAGGGCUGUAACCCGCCCUCAUGACGAUGGAAUCCCUAGUAAUCAGGUCUUAUCAUGGCCCGGUGAGUAUGUCCCUGCUCCUUGCACACACCGCCCGUCAAACCAACCGAGCAGGGUUUGGAUGAGUCUUGGUCUCUUAACCAAGCCGAAUCUAAGCUCAGUGAGGUGGGUUAAGUCGUCACAAGGUA
Molecule: ribosomal RNA, 1436 nt
Filed under: metagenome
Description: bacterial SSU rRNA
Rfam family: Archaeal small subunit ribosomal RNA
Source: RNAcentral